GACGAACGCGGCGGCGUGCUUAUACAUGCAAGUAGAACGCUGAAGGAGGAGCUUGCUUCUCGGGAUGAGUUGCGAACGGGUGAGUAACGCGUAGGUAACCUGCCUGGUAGCGGGGGAUAACUAUUGGAAACGAUAGCUAAUACCGCAUAAGAGUAGAUGUUGCAUGACAUUUGCUUAAAAGGUGCAAUUGCAUCACUACCAGAUGGACCUGCGUUGUAUUAGCUAGUUGGUGGGGUAACGGCUCACCAAGGCGACGAUACAUAGCCGACCUGAGAGGGUGAUCGGCCACACUGGGACUGAGACACGGCCCAGACUCCUACGGGAGGCAGCAGUAGGGAAUCUUCGGCAAUGGACGGAAGUCUGACCGAGCAACGCCGCGUGAGUGAAGAAGGUUUUCGGAUCGUAAAGCUCUGUUGUAAGAGAAGAACGAGUGUGAGAGUGGAAAGUUCACACUGUGACGGUAUCUUACCAGAAAGGGACGGCUAACUACGUGCCAGCAGCCGCGGUAAUACGUAGGUGGCAAGCGUUAUCCGGAUUUAUUGGGCGUAAAGAGAGUGCAGGCGGUUUUCUAAGUCUGAUGUGAAAGCCUUCGGCUUAACCGGAGAAGUGCAUCGGAAACUGGAUAACUUGAGUGCAGAAGAGGGUAGUGGAACUCCAUGUGUAGCGGUGGAAUGCGUAGAUAUAUGGAAGAACACCAGUGGCGAAGGCGGCUACCUGGUCUGCAACUGACGCUGAGACUCGAAAGCAUGGGUAGCGAACAGG
RNAcentral lists this ribosomal RNA (762 nucleotides) under uncultured Streptococcus sp. RNAcentral's name for it is "bacterial SSU rRNA". It matches the Rfam family "Bacterial small subunit ribosomal RNA", at positions 28 to 776 of the family's 1533-position model. The record is from RNAcentral. Lineage: Bacteria; Bacillati; Bacillota; Bacilli; Lactobacillales; Streptococcaceae.